CCCUUAGAUGUCCUGGGCCGCACGCGCGCUACACUGAUGCAUGCAACGAGUUUAUAACCUUGGCCUGAAAGGUCUGGGUAAUCUUUUGAACGUGCAUCGUGAUAGGGAUAGAUUAUUGCAAUUGUUAAUCUUGAACGAGGAAUUCCUAGUAAACGCGAGUCAUCAGCUCGCAUUGAUUACGUCCCUGCCCUUUGUACACACCGCCCGUCGCACCUACCGAUUGAGUGAUCCGGUGAAUAAUUCGGACUGCAGCAGUGUUCAGUUCCUGAACGUUGCAGCGGAAAGUUUAGUGAACCUUAUCACUUAGAGGAAGGAGAAGUCGUAACA
Molecule: ribosomal RNA, 327 nt
Filed under: uncultured eukaryote
Lineage: Eukaryota
Description: partial 18S ribosomal RNA
Rfam family: Eukaryotic small subunit ribosomal RNA
Source: RNAcentral